CCUACGGGUGGCAGCAGUGAGGAAUAUUGGUCAAUGGACGCAAGUCUGAACCAGCCAUGCCGCGUGCAGGAAGACGGCUCUAUGAGUUGUAAACUUCUUUUGUACGAGGGUAAACGCAGAUACGCGUAUCUGUCUGCAAGUAUCGUACGAAUAAGGAUCGGCUAACUCCGUGCCAGCAGCCGCGGUAAUACGGAGGAUUCAAGCGUUAUCCGGAUUUAUUGGGUUUAAAGGGUGCGUAGGCGGUCGGAUAAGUUAGAGGUGAAAUCCCGAGGCUCAACUUCGGAAUUGCAUCUGAUACUGUUCGGCUAGAGAGUAGUAGCGGUAGGCGGAAUGUAUGGUGUAGCGGUGAAAUGCUUAGAGAUCAUACAGAACACCGAUUGCGAAGGCAGCUUACCAAGCUACUACUGACGUUGAGGCACGAAAGCGUGGGGAGCAAACAGGAUUAGAUACCCCAGUAGUC
This 460-nucleotide ribosomal RNA is filed under the name uncultured bacterium. RNAcentral describes it as "partial 16S ribosomal RNA". It matches the Rfam family "Bacterial small subunit ribosomal RNA", at positions 338 to 795 of the family's 1533-position model. The record is from RNAcentral.